Molecule: ribosomal RNA, 301 nt
Filed under: uncultured bacterium
Lineage: Bacteria
Description: partial 16S ribosomal RNA
Rfam family: Bacterial small subunit ribosomal RNA
Source: RNAcentral
CAGUCGCCGCGGUAACACGAAGGGGGCUAGCGUUGCUCGGAAUUACUGGGCGUAAAGGGAGCGUAGGCGGACAUUUAAGUCAGGGGUGAAAUCCCGGGGCUCAACCUCGGAAUUGCCUUUGAUACUGGGUGUCUUGAGUAUGAGAGAGGUAUGUGGAACUCCGAGUGUAGAGGUGAAAUUCGUAGAUAUUCGGAAGAACACCAGUGGCGAAGGCGACAUACUGGCUCAUUACUGACGCUGAGGCUCGAAAGCGUGGGGAGCAAGCAGGAUUAGAUACCCCCGUAGUCCCUGUCUCUUAUAC